This 3155-nucleotide ribosomal RNA is filed under the name Naumovozyma dairenensis. RNAcentral's name for it is "large subunit ribosomal RNA". It matches the Rfam family "Bacterial large subunit ribosomal RNA". Lineage: Eukaryota; Fungi; Ascomycota; Saccharomycetes; Saccharomycetales; Saccharomycetaceae. The record is from RNAcentral.
GUAAAAAUAAUAAUAAUAAUUAAAAGUAAUGAUAAUAGAUUUGAAAUAAUUAUAAUAUAGAUUUAAAGAGAUAAUCAUAGAAUACAAUAAAUCAUAAUCUAUAUAUAUAUAUAAAUAUAUAUAUAAUAUGAUAAAUUAUUAAUUACUUUAUAAUAAGUACAUAUUUAUAAUAUAUAAAUAUGAGUAAAUAGGUUACUAAUAAAAUAUACAAUAUAUUUUUAAUACCUAAGGUAAACCAUAUAUAAUAUAAAUAAUAUUAUAAAAAAUAACUUAGUGAACUGAAACAUCUAAUUAACUAAAGGAAUAAAAAUCAACAGAGAUAUUAUAAGUAUCGGUGAGAGAAAAUAAUAUAGUCUAUAAGUAUUAUGUAUAAUAUAUAAGAAUAAUAUAAUAAAGGGUAUACAAUAUCUAAGACUAAAUACUAUUAAUAAAUAUAAAAAGUACCGAAAGGGAAAGUAUAAUAAAAUGGUUAUUUUAUAAGCAAUCAUAAAUAAUAAUAUAACAUUAUUAAUGAUGUACCUUUUGUAUAAUGGGUCAGCAAGUAAUAUAUAUAUGCAAAAAUAAUUUAUAAUUAAUAUGUAUUUAAUAAGUAUAUAUAUAUUGACCCGAAAGCUAAUGAUCUUACCAUGAUAAGAUAUAUAAAUGAUCGAACAGGUUGAUGUUGCAAUAUCAUCUGAAUAAUUGUGGUAUGAUAGUGAAAGACUUAACUGAUUAGCAGAUAGCUGGUUUUCUAUGAAAUAUAUAUAAGUAUAGCUUUCAAUAAUCAAUUAUAAUAAUUAUAUAUAAUUUUAAUAUAUAUAUAUAAUGUAUGGUACAGCUAUUAAUAUAAAUUAAUAUAUAUAUAUAUUUAUAUAUAUAUAUAUUAUGAAUUAGGGAACUAUAAUAGUUUUAUUAAUAAUAUUAAAUCUCGAAAUAUAUUAUUAUAAUAUUGAAAAGUCAGAUUAUAUGCGAUAAGGUAAAUAAUCAAAAGGGAAACAGCCCAGAUUAAUAUAUAAGGUUCCAAAUAAUAUAAUAAGUGAAAUAAAUAUUUUAAUAUUAUAAUUCAAUCAGUUAAUGGGUUUGAUAAUAACUAUUUUUUAAUGAACAUGUAACAAUGCACUGAUAUAUAUAUAAAAUAAUAUUAUAAAAUAAAUAUAUAUAAUAAUAUAUAUAUAUUUAUAAAAUAUAUAAUAUACGGAUCUUACAGCCCCCGGGCGAAUGAUCCGUCCCCCCCUCCGGAGGGACGGAUCUUAUUUAUUUAUUUAUAAAAAUUUAUUUAUUUAUAAAUUAAUAAUAAUUAUAAAACCGAAUAUUUAAAUAUUAUUAUUAAUAUAACAAUAAUAAUAAUAUGGUAAUAGAACAUCUAAUGAAAUAAUAUAUAAAUGUUUUCAUUUAUAUAUAAUAUAUAAAUAUUAAUAUAUAUAAAUUAAUUAGAUAGAGAAUGCUGACAUGAGUAACGAUAAAAAGGUUUAUAAUCCUUUUCACCUAAAACAUAAGGUUUAAUAAUAAAAGUACGGCCCCUAAUUAAUAUAUGAAUAUAAUUAUAUAUAAGAUGGGAUAAUACUAAAUAAUUAAUAAAAAUUUUAAUAUAUAUUAUAAUAUUAAAUAUUAUAAUAAAUUAUAUAUUUAUUUUAUAUUAAUUUAUAAAAUAUUAACAAGAAAAUAAAUUAUAAAUACCGUAAUGUAAACCGACACAGGUAUGUAAGUAGAGAAUAUGAAGGUGUAUUAGUGAAUUAUGGAUAAGGAACUCGGCAAAAAUAGUUCUAAAGUUAGAUAAGAUAAUAAAAACAAAGUUGUACAACUGUUUACUAAAAACACAGCACUUUGCAGAAAUGUAAAUUAAAGUAUAAGGUGUGAAUUCUGCUCCAUGUUUAACAUAUAAAAUAUAUAACUAUAAGGUUAUAUAUAUAAGUUUAAUCAAAUAGCAGCCUUAUUAUGAGGGUUAUAAUGUAGCGAAAUUCAUUGUCUACUAAAUAUAGUCCUGCAUGAAUGAAGUAAUGAUACAACAACUGUCUCAUCCAUAAGCUAAGUGAAAUUGAAAUCGUAGUGAAGAGGCUAUGUAUUUAUAGUUAGACGAAAAGACCCUAUGCAGCUUUACUGUAGUUAGACAGAUCGAAUAAUUAUAUAUUAUAUUCAGAAUAUUAAGUAUAUAUAUAAAAUAUAAUAUAUUUUAUAUAAUUGUUUAAAUAAAAAUGAGAUGCUUAUUGUAAUAUAAUAAUUAUUCUAAACUUAAUAAUAUAAUAUUUAAUGAUAAAAUUCUUAAAUAUGGUAUAUAUAUAUAAUAUUUUUAUUAUUAUAUAUAUAUAUAAUAAGUGACAAUCUCUAAUUGGUAGUUUAGAUGGGGCGUCUUGUUCAGCAAAAGUAUCUGAAUCAGUCCAUAUAUAAUAAUAUUAUAUAAUUGAAAAAUAAAAUAUAUAUUAUAUAUAUUAAUAAUAAAAAAUAAUAUUUAUAUUUAUAUAUAUAUAUUUAUAUAUAUAUUUAUAUAUUUAUUAUAAUAAUAGAAUAGAUAUGUACAGUAUAAAUUGUCUGGAAAACAAUAAUUAAUUAAUUAAAAAAAUAUAAUGGUAUAACUGUGCUAUAAUUAUAACACAAACAAGUGAAAUAAGUACGUAAGUAUGGCAUAAUGAACAAAUAAUACUAAUUGUAAAGAUUAUUGAUAACGAAUAAAAGUUACGCUAGGGAUAACAGGGUAAUAUAACAAAAGAGUGGAUAUUGUAAGUUAUGUUUGCCACCUCGAUGUCGACUCAACCUAUCCUCUUGGUUGUAAAAUCUAAGAAGGGUUUGACUGUUCGUCAAUUAAAAGGUUACGUGAGUUGGGUUAAAUACGAUGUGAAUCAGUAUGGUUUCUAUCUACUAUAAAUAAUAUUAUCAAAUUAAGCCUCAUUAUUAGUACGCAAGGACCAUAAUGAAUUAACCUAUGGUGUAUCUAUUGAUUAUAUAAAAUAAUAUAAUAUAUUUUAUAUUAUUUAAAUAUUAAUUUAUAUUUUAUAUAUAGUCAUAGUAGAUAAGCUAAGUUAAUAAAUAAUAAAUAUUGAAUACAUAUGAAAUAUGAAGUAGUCUUAAUAAUAAGAUAAUAAUAAUAAUAAAUAUUAUAAAUAAUAUUUAUUAAAUUGAUAAUUUUAUACUAAAAUAUAAUUAUAUAUAUAUAUAAUAUAUAUAUAUAUAAUAAAAUAGGU